Molecule: long non-coding RNA, 5029 nt
Filed under: Sus scrofa (pig)
Lineage: Eukaryota; Metazoa; Chordata; Mammalia; Artiodactyla; Suidae
Description: lncRNA (ENSSSCG00000055304.1)
Source: RNAcentral
UUUUUCUUUUUUUUCUUUUUUACUUUUUAGGGCUGCACCUGCUGCCUAUGGAGGUUCCCAGGCUAGAGGUUGAAUCAGAGGUAUAGUUGCUGGCCUACACCACAGCCAUAGCCACGCCAGAUCCGAGCCAUGUCAUACCACAGCUCACAGCAAUUCUGGGCCAUGCUGUUUCAGGCUGAACACAGCAAAGACCUCAUUGCACACAAAAUAAAAGGCCAGUCUCAUUUUCCUGUUGAGUAGACUUGAGAUACCCAGAGAGCUGUCCAGGAGGUUCAGGAGCAGGGCUAGUAAUCAAUUGCCUAAAACUACAAACAAGAUCUCGUUGUCUAUGACUAAGUGGAGGAACUCAGAAAGAGUGAAGAAUCUGAAUGAUAGACCACAGCCUUACUGCCUUUGGAUAUGUACAGGAAAAUGGAGUAGGCUGAUAAAAUAUUAUCUGAAAGAGAUCAUUGAGGAAGUUCCCAUUGUGGCUCAAUGGAGAUGAAUCCAACCAGUAUCCCUAAGGAUGUGGGUUCCAUCCCUGGCUUUGCUCAGUGGGUUAAGGAUCUGGUGUUGCCAUGACCUGUGGUGUAGGUCUCAGAUGUGGCUUAGAUCUGGCCUGGCUGUGGAUGUGGUGUAGACUGGCAGCUAUAGCUCCGAUUCGACCCCUAGCCUGGGAACUUCCAUAUGCCUCGAGCACAGCCUUAAAAAAAGAGAUUGUUGGGGGAAGCCUUUUUCAUUAGUUGAUAAUACUGUGUAAUUGUCAUCUCAGUUAUAAGUAAAAGGAGGCCUCCUACUUUAGGAUGAUUCUAGACAGUUCUCUGGUAUAAAAACAUUACACUGGCACUGCUUUCACGCUAUUAAUUAGAUGUGCAGAUGUUUUUCUUCACACCACAUUCACUCAGGCUCUGUCUGAAUUUUCACAAAUGUGUAAUUAGAGGAGGUCUGAAUUAGUGAUGUUUUUCAGGACACCACAAUUGUUGGAGACAGCAGACACCCUGUUGAACGGUUAACUGGAGAGCUUGAACACGUAUCUCUGAGAAAAGAUUUCAUUUGAGUGUCUCUUCCCGCAGCAAAGUUUGUCUCUCCGAUCAUGGAAUUGUUAAUCGUAUACAUUUGUUAAGCUAAUGAACAGAUAACUCGAGGGAAGUCUGAAGUUUCUUUCCCUCUUUUUCCCUCUUCACACAUAGCUCAGUUCAGUCACCACCAGCACUCAAUUUCAUGCAGAGUUCACAGCCAUCACAAGAGCUAGUGCAGUUUUAGGUUAAGCAUAUUUUACCCAUAAAUUGCUGUAUUUGGUUCUCGAGUUAUUAUUGCAGUUCCUUGGGGUACAUUUAAAUCCACCUUAUUGUAAUAGAUUAUGGAAUAUAGUGGCUAAUGUGUCUAAUGUAAAAUAAAUGACUAUAAUGAUUUAUGAUGCGACACUUCAAUUUUAUUGAACAUAAGGAUCAUUGUACUGAAAUGGAUGGUGUAUUGCUGGUUUAGCAUAAAAUACUGAAUAACAUAUUCAGGAAAAUGAAUGGCUCGGCCAGUUCAUAAUAUUCUGCCCCUUCAGCUGAGAGGUCUUUAAUAAGCAAGAGUGUCAUUACACUUGAAAAUGUAUGUAUAGGUAAUCCAUUAUCUAGAACAAUGACAGGGAUCUGCUCAAGUCCUUUUAAAGAAGGAGCUCUUUAGAAGAAAAUUCUCUGAUCUUCCCAAAAGGGUGAUUUCCAUGUCAGCACACAGCACUUACAAAAGCGCUUAGCAGAAUUGCAAGUGGCCCCCACGUUUAAGCGUUAUCACCUUGAGACUCCCAUGACCUAAUAGGGGGAUUUCAGGAAGAUUUUGAUUCUUUUGGCCCUGUCCUCAGACAAUAUCCUUGAUGUCCUUUUCUCUCUGUGUUCAUUCACCAACAUUUUAACUCUUGCAGUGCCCAGCACUUAGCAUAAUGCAUGAUGUGUCUUUCCUCUGCACUUGUGUUUGUGUUUGAUUACCUAGUAACAAAGCAGAAUUAAGAAGAUCUGAUUUAGGGAGUUCCAUGGUUGCUCAGCAGGGUAAGGAUCCAGCCUUGUCACUUCUGUGGUGUGGGUUCAAUCCCUGGCCCAGGAACUUCUGCAUGCCAUAGAUGAAGCCCAAAAAAAAAAAAAAAAAAAAAAAAAAAUCCAAUUUAGCUGUUAAUUUUUAUCAACUACAAUAUUAAAGAUGGUUUCCAGUGAUAUAUUGGGUCAAUAUGUUUGUGUUCUCAGGCCUGGGAGAUGAAAGGAAAUUCUUCUGUGACAGAUGGCAGGUUUAUAUUAAUGGUACAGCUCUAUCUUCCAAAAAGUGGGGGGACAGGAGGAAUAAGGGAAUUGUUUUCUGACCCUCUCACCCUUGCCAUCCUGUAAGGCUGCCAUUACAGCCCACGAUCCUCCUGGGAUGCAGGUUGAUGACAGAGGCAAUUCCCACCUAAUAACUAAAUCCUCAUGGAGUUAUCUUAACAGCAUACAUCUCAUUCAUGGGAAGGGUAGCUAGUUUGUCUCCUUUGGUGUGGCCAUGCUGUCCUCAGGGGAGAGGAAACCAGGGUAUUUUGAACCCAGCUGCUGUAUACAUGGCAGUUUAGAUUCCCUUCUCUUCCAUAGCAGAUUUCACUGCUGCCCGAGAAGGCCUGGGUCGUGAUGAGAAAGUAAUUUGACGACCAAGUGAACACUGUGUUUGUGGAGUUAAGGAGUUUCACAUUCCAGAACAGAAAAAUAAUGUUGACAAUAGAUUCUGUACUGUGUGGAUUUCAGACAUUUAUUUAUUCAGGAUACACUCUUGGGCCAUUUUUUUUGGUAUUAUUAUUGUUUUGAAAAGGUGACAUAGCUUGGAACCAUUCAGUGCAGAAAGUAACUAGAGAUAUCCUGAUAACCUAACUUAAUUGGGGAGGUCACAGGCUUGUUGUAUAUCAGUCUAUUUCUGGAACAGUGUGGAUAUUUUCUCUGUAAUCAGCAACCCAAAAUGAAAGUGAUAAGGCCCAUCUUUUUGCUAAUGGUAUGUUGCCUUUGGAUCUCUUGAUACAUCAAUCUGGAGAAGACCAAGGCAAGGGCUCUGGGAUGCCUCUGACCCCCCAAGGUCCUCUGACCUUUAGAACCUGCCCACCCCCAGUUCCCAAACUUAAGGAUUCCUUUCCAUAAUAAAUUUUACACAGUCAUCCAAGAUAGUCAGGAUGUUUCUAUAAAGAACAUUAGGGCAUGUUCUUUGUUCUUCAUGACUUCACUAUUUUCCCUCCGAAUGUUGCAGUAAAUUUAAAUGGGUCCUAAGGUCUUACCACUGCCCCACGAGACCUUGUUUUCUCUGCAUUAUGCUCUCACACCAGCUUCAGCUUGAGUCUCUCUCUGAUCACCUCUGGAAACUGAUCCCCACAGUGUUAGGACGACAGAAGAGCUUCCCAGGACCCAAACAAUCUAUAACUUGGCCAUUGCAUGGCCUUCUUGCUCUGACUCCAUGACUCGCUUACCAACCCCACCCAGUGUCCUGACAUCUUUUCCCUUCUGCCAUCUCCUUGCUCUGUGCUACCUGCACAUCCCUGUGUUCUACAUUCUUCACCAUGUCAAAUAGCUACUUGAUUUCCUCUAAAUUCUCAUCUUACUUCUAACACCAAAGUAAUAUUUAGAAUCCAGGCUUCAAUGUAUGUGGGUCCAUGGGUAGAAUUUCGAGGUGUUAAUACGUUUCUCAAAAAAAAAAGUGCUCAAGGGGCUUUUUCCAAAGCUAGGAUUCACGUACAUCAUUUGACCAGAGGUAUCAGUUGGCUUCUUUCCCAGGGAAUUCAUCCAACUAUUUCUUCUUUCAAUCUUAAAGCAUAUAGUUAAGUCCCAGGUAAAGCCUCAGUGUUCAUCACUUCAUCCCUUCAAAACACUUUGAUUUACAGAACAGAGACUUGUACCUGGGAAGUUUUGAGGUAUUCGCCAACAUCGAUAUUUUAAAGUAUUUUUUUCUAUAUAUCCUCCUUCAAAUUAUAAGCCAUAUAAGCCCAUCAAAGGAGCUUCAGAUUUCUCUCUGAGAGCCUUGUUUUUCUGUCUUUGGGGAAAUCGGCCUCAAUUUAACAGGUGGACCUCCUGUGCUGUGCACAGUGGGCCAGGACAAGUUGGGAAAUCACCAAGUUGAUUGAGACUGAUUAUACCUGAAUUAAACAGUGCCAAUGCCAUGUUUGAAGGUAUGUGUGUCACAUUGAGACUGAAGACUUGACUAAAAUGACCUUGAAACAUCUGGGGAAAAGCCAUAGGUUUAUUUGCAUAGGGCAGUAAGGUUUCCGCGAGCCAGAGGUAACUGAAUAUUUGCAUUGCCUAUCUUUUUUUUUUUCUACCCCAAAAGUUAAAAUAUCUAGAGAUAAACUCAACAGAGACAAAUAAAGAAAAAUUUUUAAUUCUACCAUCAGCCACAGUGGUUCUUGAAGAACUGCAAAAUACCUUGUUCUUAGGUAGGAGAGUCCAGUGUUAUAAAGCUGUAACCUCUCCUCAGAAUGAGCUGUAAGUUCAAUGUGAUGUCUCCCAAAUGAAAAAAGAUGUUUGGGGAAUUUAUAGAGGCAGGCAAUCGAGGAUGGAUGCUGACUUGAUGUAAAGGUUCUUAAGUCCAUCUGGAAAAGUUAAAAAAAUGAUAAUAAAGGGGUAAUAGUAUAAAAAGAGGCAAAAAAAGAGAGAACUUCCUUUACAUAAUAAAAUGCCUUAUAAGCAAUAGCAAUGAAAACAGUGAGUUACUGGUGCAGGAUGAGCAAGAUGAGUGGAGCAGCACUUCAUCAAGAGGGUGUCCCCAGUACAGAAGGAAAGUGAGCAGGUGAAUAACCUUCGAAUGAAAGGUGGAAAUGUUUACUGUUUAGUAAAUGAUGGGUGAGAAAACAAAGCCAGCUUCAUACUUCACUUCUUCUACCAAAAAGAAAAAAAAAAAUUCUGACAACCCAUAGAGGGAUAAAUGAUUGUAACGGGGAAGAAAAAAGUUAAUACCACAAAGUUGUAAAAGAAAUCUUAGCUCGUAUUUUAUGCUAAAGAAGGGAAGACCUUUCUAAGAGUGACACAAAAGCCAAGAUAUCUUAUAAUGUAAGAUAUUGAUAUAUCUGAUU